AAACUCUGGUUUCUUUUCAUAUCGUAUAAAUCUUUCGCCUUUUACUAAAGAUUUCCGUGGAGAGGAACAUUAUGAGUAUAAUCUAAUUUUUUGAUGCCCUGCCUUACGGUGGGGCU
RNAcentral lists this small nuclear RNA (116 nucleotides) under Paramormyrops kingsleyae. RNAcentral's name for it is "U5 spliceosomal RNA (ENSPKIG00000012785.1)". It matches the Rfam family "U5 spliceosomal RNA". From Rfam's summary of the family: U5 RNA is a component of both types of known spliceosome. The precise function of this molecule is unknown, though it is known that the 5' loop is required for splice site selection and p220 binding, and that both the 3' stem-loop and the Sm site are important for Sm protein binding and cap methylation. The record is from RNAcentral. Lineage: Eukaryota; Metazoa; Chordata; Actinopteri; Osteoglossiformes; Mormyridae.